AACAUUUACACGUAAAGGUCACCUAACAAAUCACUCUGCUUUGGACAGCCAUCUAAAGCCACUGCUCUGCCAAGUGUCCAGGGAGCCCUGGAACUCUAUAUCCUGGGACAUGCACAGUGUGUGGAGAUGUGAGGCAGGCAACAGAGCUGCCAGUGAGGAACAAAGCAUUCAGCAAACAGCAAAGGCUCGCAAGAGUUAGCAGGGAGCCAAUGUCAAUUCAGAGUGACGCCAUGAUCACAUGUACACUCCAGAGGCAAGAGGAAAGGGGAGGAAGGGACCAUCAAAGAGAGAAGGGGCCAUCUGUAGGCGGACAGAGGCAGGGGCAUGAACACGCUUGUCACCAGACAGAUGCCGGGUCAGUUGGGCGACUUGAAGUCCUCCUAACUGGAGUCGGGAAAGGGAAGGACAGAGAAGACAAAGAGGAGGCAGACAUUUGCAGAGAAAUCAUGCGAGGAAGUUAGCAACUGAGAGAUGGAGAGAAAGCGUCCAAACCAUUCUGGGUGCUUCCGGAGGAAAUGGCUCCUGCUGGCAGUGGGGGCUGGGCACAACACAGACAAGGGUUUGAGCGACUUCACAAGGACAGUGGCAGAGGCAGUGGAACAAGGCCUUUGGAAUAUGGUGAAAGGGCUUCCCAUGGAGAAGAGAAUUAUGGAAUGAGAGACAAGCGGAGAGCAACUAUGCCAAACUGUCUGGAAACUGGAAACCUGAGACCGCGGUGUUGACGAGUUUGGCUUGUGAGAGGCCUCUUCCCUUGGCUUGCAGACAGAUGCCCUCUUGUUACCUGUUCACAUGAUCUGCCCUCUGUAUGUGCCCUGCUGGUGUUUUCCCGUGUGUCCGACCUUCUUUUGUUAGCCAGAGUUCUAUUCCUGUGGCAAAUCUCUGCAAUAAGUCAAUAAAGGAGAAGGAAAAGGUCA
Myodes glareolus (Bank vole) is the source of this 914-nucleotide non-coding RNA. The record is from RefSeq and is a predicted model, not a curated record. NCBI's taxonomy places the organism in Eukaryota, Metazoa, Chordata, Mammalia, Rodentia, Cricetidae.